RNAcentral lists this ribosomal RNA (253 nucleotides) under uncultured bacterium. RNAcentral describes it as "partial 16S ribosomal RNA". It matches the Rfam family "Bacterial small subunit ribosomal RNA", at positions 524 to 776 of the family's 1533-position model. The record is from RNAcentral.
UACGUAGGUGGCAAGCGUUGUCCGGAUUUACUGGGUGUAAAGGGCGUGCAGCCGGAGAGACAAGUCAGAUGUGAAAUCCACGGGCUCAACUCGUGAACUGCAUUUGAAACUGUUUCCCUUGAGUGUCGGAGAGGUAAUCGGAAUUCCUUGUGUAGCGGUGAAAUGCGUAGAUAUAAGGAAGAGCACCAGUGGCGAAGGCGGAUUACUGGACGAUAACUGACGGUGAGGCGCGAAAGCGUGGGGAGCAAACAGG